Molecule: long non-coding RNA, 195 nt
Organism: Astyanax mexicanus (Mexican tetra)
Lineage: Eukaryota; Metazoa; Chordata; Actinopteri; Characiformes; Acestrorhamphidae
Exons: 5
Source: RefSeq, a predicted model, not a curated record
GGUGGUGCAGGACGUGAGCAGGUCAUCUAUGCUGGUCCUCAGGACUUCAGUGCACGGGUUUUGGAAAUUAUUCCUGAUGCUGAACAGUGUGAUGUUAAAGAAUUUAUGAGCUGUGACUUCUCUGACUCUGGAAAAGGAAGUAAUUCAAGCAGAAACAGCAGAGAAGAGAGCCUAAGCAGCAAUGGAAGAUCAACU